This 467-nucleotide ribosomal RNA is filed under the name uncultured bacterium. Its description in RNAcentral is "partial 16S ribosomal RNA". It matches the Rfam family "Bacterial small subunit ribosomal RNA", at positions 28 to 507 of the family's 1533-position model. The record is from RNAcentral.
GACGAACGCUGGCGGCGUGCUUAACACAUGCAAGUCGAACGGAAAGGCCUCUUUCGGGGGGUACUCGAGUGGCGAACGGGUGAGUAACACGUGAGUAACCUGCCCUUGACUUUGGGAUAACUUCAGGAAACUGGGGCUAAUACCGGAUAGGAGCUCCUGCUGCAUGGUGGGGGUUGGAAAGUUUUGGCGGUUUGGGAUGGACUCGCGGCUUAUCAGCUUGUUGGUGGGGUAGUGGCUUACCAAGGCUUUGACGGGUAGCCGGCCUGAGAGGGUGACCGGCCACAUUGGGACUGAGAUACGGCCCAGACUCCUACGGGAGGCAGCAGUGGGGAAUAUUGCACAAUGGGUGGAAGCCUGAUGCAGCAACGCCGUGUGCGGGAUGACGGCCUUCGGGUUGGAAACCGCUUUCGCUCAUGACGAAGCUUUGUGUGACGGUAGUGGGUAAAGAAGCACCGGCUAACUACGUG